This 468-nucleotide ribosomal RNA is filed under the name uncultured bacterium. RNAcentral describes it as "partial 16S ribosomal RNA". It matches the Rfam family "Bacterial small subunit ribosomal RNA", at positions 28 to 507 of the family's 1533-position model. The record is from RNAcentral.
GACGAACGCUGGCGGCGUGCUUAACACAUGCAAGUCGAACGGAGAGGGCCAGCUUUUGUCGGGUGCUCAAGUGGGGAACGGGUGAGUAACAAGCGAGUAAUCAGCCUUUGAUUUUGGGAUAACUUAAGGUAACAGGGGCAAAUAACGGAUAGGAACUCCUGCUGCAUGGUGGGGGUUGGACAGUUUCGGCGGCGGGGGAUGGACUCGCGGCUUAUCAGCCUGUUGGUGGGGUAGUGGCUUACCAAGGAUAUGACGAGUAGCCGGCCUGAGAGGGUGACCGGCCACAUUGGGACUGAGAUGCAGCCAAGACUCAUACGGGAGGAAGCGAUGAGGAAUAGAGCACGAUGGGCGGCAGCCUGGAGGAGCAACGCCGCGUGCGGAAUCACGGACUUCUGGUUGUAAACCGCUUCUGCCGGUGACGAAGCGUGAGUGACGGUAAUGGGUAAAGAAGCAGCGGCUAACUACGUG